This is a long non-coding RNA of Magnolia sinica, 1221 nucleotides long. RefSeq lists it as uncharacterized. The record is from RefSeq and is a predicted model, not a curated record. The transcript has 3 exons. NCBI's taxonomy places the organism in Eukaryota, Viridiplantae, Streptophyta, Magnoliopsida, Magnoliales, Magnoliaceae.
CUCUCUCUCUCUGUCUCUCCCUUUAGAUGCAGCGACAGCCAUCGCCAUCUCCACCUAUUACCCCUUUCUCAAUCGACCCUCUCUCUCUAUUUCCCCUUUUCCCUCUCUCAAUCGACCAUCUCUCUUUGUUUCCCCUUUCUCAAUCCAUCUUUCUCUCUCUCUCUCUCUCUCUCUCUCUGUGCGUGUGUCUUUUACAGACCAAAUCUAGGUUUUUCUCUCUCGAUCCUUCUAAAACGGAUUUGGAUUUUUCUCUCAAGCUACAAUAGAUUUUCGAUGUAGAGCUGGGGUUUUAGAUUCUGUUUUGUUAUUAUUUUUAAUAUUCAUGAGUGCUAAUGAUCCUAGCUUCUUGUACUUGUGAAAAUGCAGUUGUACUUCAAUGCAUCAGAUCCCUUAAGUGAGCUGUAGGAAAGAGCUUGGAUCAUCCCAGCUUUUUGGAACAUCCUUGCAUACUUAUUACUCAUUGUAAUAUGUAUCCUUUGGGCCCCAUCGCAUAACCCAACUAGGAUUUUACAUGUCACUUCACAGGGUCUGACUGCCUUGACUCUGCUUUCUUCCUUUUGCUACCUUGGGGUCAUGGGCAUAUUAAUAUCUCAAUAUUUUAUGAAGUCCUAAUACAGUGGGCCCUUCUCCACUCUAGAUCUUUCAAAAGGUGGUUCUUACCUGAUAUUGUACUUGGUCCCUCUGAAUUUCUUGUGAGCGUACUUUGAAUCUAUACUCGUACGGGUUUGAUUGAAGGAAACAGAACAGAGGCCUUAUAUGUUAUGAAAUGUGACUAGUUGGCAACUCUGAUCUUUGAGUUGGUGGGUGCAAGAAAAAUAACUUCCUGCAGUUUUGGUUUAUCUCUGAUUGAAUUUCAGAUAUUGAUCAAGUUGAAGGAUAAUAGACUGGUUGAAACUGUUGGGAUACCAGUUGAAGAUAAUAAAGGUUUUUAUCACCUCACUGCUUGUAUAUCUUCACAAGUAAGGUGCUUUUCACACAGCAACAAAUCCUUGCUGAUCAACUUUUCUUUUCAUGCGCAAUUUUCUGUUUGGGAAGUAAAAGGGUGUGAAUGUUAGCAAGAAUACUUACAUGCAUGUGUGCAUACACAUAAAUACAUAUAUACAUAUUCUAAUCUUCUUUGUUAGAUCAUAAAUUCUACUUUGUAUGUUUAGGUUUGAAUCUAAUGAUCCAGUCCCACAUAACCCAAAGAGUAAAACAACAGGGUGAAAUGACUGAUAGACU